GGCUCGUUGGUCUAGCAGGGUAUGAUUCUCGCUUUGGGUGCGAGAGGUCCCUGGUUCAAAUCCCGGACGAGCCC
Molecule: non-coding RNA, 74 nt
Organism: Dallia pectoralis (Alaska blackfish)
Lineage: Eukaryota; Metazoa; Chordata; Actinopteri; Esociformes; Umbridae
Source: the annotation of a GenBank genome assembly